This 977-nucleotide ribosomal RNA is filed under the name Bacillus amyloliquefaciens. RNAcentral describes it as "bacterial SSU rRNA". It matches the Rfam family "Bacterial small subunit ribosomal RNA", at positions 49 to 1005 of the family's 1533-position model. Lineage: Bacteria; Bacillati; Bacillota; Bacilli; Caryophanales; Bacillaceae. The record is from RNAcentral.
CAAUACUGCAGUCGAGCGAAUGGAUUAAGAGCUUGCUCUUAUGAAGUUAGCGGCGGACGGGUGAGUAACACGUGGGUAACCUGCCCAUAAGACUGGGAUAACUCCGGGAAACCGGGGCUAAUACCGGAUAACAUUUUGAACUGCAUGGUUCGAAAUUGAAAGGCGGCUUCGGCUGUCACUUAUGGAUGGACCCGCGUCGCAUUAGCUAGUUGGUGAGGUAACGGCUCACCAAGGCAACGAUGCGUAGCCGACCUGAGAGGGUGAUCGGCCACACUGGGACUGAGACACGGCCCAGACUCCUACGGGAGGCAGCAGUAGGGAAUCUUCCGCAAUGGACGAAAGUCUGACGGAGCAACGCCGCGUGAGUGAUGAAGGCUUUCGGGUCGUAAAACUCUGUUGUUAGGGAAGAACAAGUGCUAGUUGAAUAAGCUGGCACCUUGACGGUACCUAACCAGAAAGCCACGGCUAACUACGUGCCAGCAGCCGCGGUAAUACGUAGGUGGCAAGCGUUAUCCGGAAUUAUUGGGCGUAAAGCGCGCGCAGGUGGUUUCUUAAGUCUGAUGUGAAAGCCCACGGCUCAACCGUGGAGGGUCAUUGGAAACUGGGAGACUUGAGUGCAGAAGAGGAAAGUGGAAUUCCAUGUGUAGCGGUGAAAUGCGUAGAGAUAUGGAGGAACACCAGUGGCGAAGGCGACUUUCUGGUCUGUAACUGACACUGAGGCGCGAAAGCGUGGGGAGCAAACAGGANUAGAUACCCUGGUAGUCCACGCCGUAAACGAUGAGUGCUAAGUGUUAGAGGGUUUCCGCCCUUUAGUGCUGAAGUUAACGCAUUAAGCACUCCGCCNGGGGAGUACGGNCGCAAGGCUGAAACUCAAAGGAAUUUGACGGGGGCCCGCACAAGCGGGGGAGCAUGUGGUUUUAUUUCGAAGCAACGCGAAGAAACUUACCAGGUCUUGACCUCCUCUGAAAACCCUAAAA